RNAcentral lists this long non-coding RNA (1267 nucleotides) under Homo sapiens (human). RNAcentral describes it as "long intergenic non-protein coding RNA 2582". The record is from RNAcentral. Lineage: Eukaryota; Metazoa; Chordata; Mammalia; Primates; Hominidae.
GCUGACUCUCUUUUCGGACUCAGCCCGCCUGCACCCAGGUGAAAUAAACAGCCAUGUUGCUCACACAAAGCCUGUUUGGUGGUCUCUUCACAGGGACACGGAUGAAAUUUGGUGCCGUGACUCGGAUCGGGGAACCUCCCUUAGGAGAUCAAUCCCCUGUACUCCUUUUCUUUGCCCUGUGAGAAAGAUCCACCUAUGACCUCAGGUCCUCAGACCGACCAGCCCAAGGAACAUCUCACCAAUUUUAAAUCAGAUCUUCUCGGCUUAGCGGCUGAAGACUGACACUGCCCGAUCGCCUCGGAAGCCCCCUAGACCAUCACGGACGCCGAGCUUCGGUAACUCUCACAGUGGAAGAGACCUUGAAGAUUUGUUGUUCAAGGAGAAACUGAAGAGCAAGAAGGAAAGUGAGAGCCAGCAAUACCAGCAGAGCCAGAUCUGAGCUGGGAGAAGGGGAGAAAGUUUGUGAAGAGGAGAUCGGUGACCUGGGCUCCUUAUGUGCCUGAAAGAGUUUGAGUUUCCUGUUAACUCCAAAUCAACAGUAUUUUCAACAAGAAAUGUGCAAUUGAAAUCAAGUGCUGUUUAAGUGCAGCUAGGAUUUCCACAGGAAGACACUUGCAGUGAACAGAGUUAUGGAGCAGCAAAAACACAGAUCUAUUUGGAAAAAGAGAAAACAUAUGCGUUGUAUUUUGCUUCAAUUAUAAAAUACCAUCCUCUCAAAGGUGGUUCUAAAUUACAAAGGACUUUGAUUUCUAGGUAGAUUCUGGGUAGAGACUUCCUUUCAUAUUGAGGCAUUAAUGACACCUUUUAACCUGGGAAGCAAUAUGACUGGAGUUGUACUUUGAGAAGAUUAAUCAGGUUUGGUUGCAGAAUGAAAGAGAAGAUGAAGUCAAGAGAUUGGUUUAGAGGCUCUAGCAGAAGCUUAGUCAUAUUUCAAAAUGAUCAAAUAUCAAGAAAAAUUCUGAGCUGCAUAACUUGUAUAAAGUAAUUUUCAGUGAUUUUUUUCAUGGUUAUGAUAAAAGAACUGGAUUAGCAGAAACUUUUACCCUGAAUCAAGAUUUAAUUUUUCUUUGAGCUCAUCUUAAGGAUAUCGGAACAUAGGGAGCAAACGAUGGUGUGGCUGCCUCAGUGCUUGAUUUUUAACGGUUUUGAAGAGAAUAGUUACAUUUCUUCUCCUAGUAAGAACUAAUAAAUACAUUAACAGAAAUGAAUUCCCUAUCCCUUUGUACACUGGUCUAUUUCUUCAAAACAUUAAAUACUAUUGAUAAGA